UGAGGUGAAUGAUGGAAUAUGUAGAUGCACUGAGCUGGUUGCGUUUCUUGUCGGCAUUUGUUGAUUUAUAUAUGCAAUUGAAUGAAUACCUUGAUUAAAGGAACACUUGUUGGCAAAUGCAGAAAUGUUGUACAUAUUAGCAUUAGCUUAACCAUUUGGGGACCGAACCGCUCGACGGGCGAGCGUCGCUGAGGACAAGAGGUAUUGGAGUGCGCAGUAAAGAAAAUAAAUUCGUUAAACGUUAUAAAAAAUAAGGUUUUAUUUAACACAAGACACAUUUUUUUAUAAAAUGAAAAAAUAAUUAUAAACAAACUGCUAUCACUGCUAAUGUUGAAGUGCCUGAGCGGAUUCCUUAUUGCACGGAUUUCACUUCCACUUAACGAAGUAAUGCCGACAUCUUCCGUCUUAUCAGAUUCAAAGUAAUAUUCUUCAGAACUUGUCACUAUCUAACGUAUCAUCUCUAGAUCGCUUAGCCAUCUUGUGUAGGAUAAAAUAUAAAAUAUAUAAAAAGCCAGCUGAUUCCUUUGCCAAUAACAAUGAGAUACCGAAUCGAAGAACUGAAAUUCGUUCUGACUCUACCGUCGUCUCACAUCCUAAGUUUACAUUAUAAGGAAGAUAAGUCUUCAUCGCUAAUGGUCCCUAAUGUCUUUGAAUGAAAAUGUGACUAUUAUACUAUACCUAUGCGUAUCUUAUCGCUCAUAACGAAAGACGUCGCGAGCCUUGCAGCUGUGAACUAAUUUGGGCGGCUUUAAGAUGACACUCGUCCCUAAAGGGUUGAAGAAGUAUUUGUGUAUAUAGGCUAAUAAACGGCGACGUUCCUCUGCGAAUUUGAGAUCUUCACUGAAAAAAGCAUUGCAACAACCAGAAAAAGACCUGUGACACUCCGGUUUACGCCGUGGAAAUGACCCCGACUAUUGUCCCAGUUCAGCAGCGUUUCACAAAAAAGUACAAUGAAUGUUUUAUGCUGCUACACAACAAUAGUGCAAUAAACAAAAAAGUAGAUAUGCGCCGGUAC
This is a long non-coding RNA of Anastrepha obliqua, 1015 nucleotides long. RefSeq lists it as uncharacterized. Lineage: Eukaryota; Metazoa; Arthropoda; Insecta; Diptera; Tephritidae. The transcript is spliced from 3 exons. The record is from RefSeq and is a predicted model, not a curated record.